This is a non-coding RNA of Salvia hispanica, 3547 nucleotides long. NCBI's taxonomy places the organism in Eukaryota, Viridiplantae, Streptophyta, Magnoliopsida, Lamiales, Lamiaceae. The record is from RefSeq and is a predicted model, not a curated record.
GCUCCAUUAGCCGCAGAUGCCAACCAUGAGCGACGAAGGAGAGAAGACUUGCCCCCUCUGUGCUGAGGAGAUGGAUUUAACUGAUCAGCAGUUGAAGCCUUGCAAGUGUGGCUAUGAGAUUUGUGUUUGGUGUUGGCAUCAUAUUAUGGAUAUGGCUGAGAAAGAUGAGACUGAAGGGCGCUGUCCAGCAUGUCGUACUGCUUAUAACAAAGAAAAGAUUGUUGGAACCACUGCAAAAUGUGAAAGAUUGGUGUCAGAGAUGAGUGUGGAGAAAAAGGUAAAGUCACAGAAGGGAAAGAGCAAAGGCUUGGAAGGACGGAAGCAACUUGGCAGUGUACGAGUCAUUCAGAGGAAUCUUGUGUAUGUUGUGGGUCUGCCACUGAAUUUUGCCGAUGAUGAUCUACUUCAGCGCCGAGAAUAUUUUGGUCAGUAUGGGAAGGUGCUGAAGGUGUCAAUAUCUCGAACAGCGACUGGGACUAUACAACAGUUUGCAAAUAGUACAUGCAGUGUAUAUAUAACAUAUUCAAAGGAGGAGGAGGCAGUCCGAUGUAUUCAGUUGGUACAUGGAUUUGCUCUGGAUGGUAAACCAUUGAGGGCAUGCUUUGGGACCACAAAAUACUGUCAUGCAUGGCUGAGAAAUAUGCCUUGCAGCAACCCAGAUUGUCUGUAUUUGCAUGACAUUGGCUCACAAGACGAUAGUUUUACGAAGGAUGAAGUCAUAUCUGAACACACAAGGAGUAGAAUCCAACAAGUCACCAGUUCCUCAAUUAGUAUCCAACGGCGUUCAGGAAACGUAUUACCUCCUCCAGGAGAUGAUUACUGCAAUAAUAACAGCUCGACGUCUUCGGUGAAGCCUCUUGCUAAAACUGCUAUUAAUACAAAUAAUUCAGUAACGAGUUCUAGAAAUUCUCCACCAAGUAGUAGCUCAGGGAUAUCUGCUGCUCUACCAGCUGGAGCAUCAUGGGGUGUACGUCCAUCUGGUAAUCAACCUUUGCUGACAAGCACAUCGAGUUCCAGCAGACCAUCUAAUCAGAAAAAUGACAUGUGUAAUGGUCCAGCAGCAUUUUCUAAAUCAGCCCCAAGUCAAGUUUCUUCGCUUCAUAAUGACACUGGGAAGAAAAGGGUGCCCAACGAAGGAAGCACCAUUUCUCUUGAGAAAAAUAAAACAGAAACUUCUGGGCCAGUUAAAAAGGAAGCAAAUACCGAUGGAAGUAUUGUUUCUGACACUUCCUCGACACCUGCAUACAUCACCAGUGUGCCCUUGAGCAGCCAGCUUCAUAGCCCACCUAGAACGAGAUCACUUCUAAAUACUUCUAAUAUAGUUGAUUCUUCUGCUUCAUCUAACGGACUUGUAUCAGAUAAAGAUCUGAAGGACUACAUAGACAAUAACAUGGAGAAUGUGUGCUCUGAUGUAUUAUCAUUGAGCAUUCAAGAAAAUCAACAUUCACAAAACAACAAUGUUGAGAAAAUUAGAGAAUCAUCAGUUUGUGAGACUUCUGGAGAAGAUAAGAGUACCACUGAUGUGGUACACAUUGCAAAUGUCCAGUCUGAUUCUAGAUUGGGAAGGCCUGAUGAAGAAACUAAAAUCGACUUGCCUGAACUGGACAAUGAUUUGUUAUCUUUUCAUAGCCAGAGGAUUAAGGAUCCUGAGAUUGCUUCGAGUAGAACACCAGAGUUUUUUGAUGCACUUAAUCUAAAGCGUUCUGAUUUUAUUUCUCCUGCAUUUGACAAUGCUAAUGGUUUAACUGGUAUUGGUUUUAAUAGCCAGGCUGUACAUAGAAGUGGUAACUUGAUGGUAUCAAGUUCUAAUUCUCCAAGUGUGUAUCUGGAGAAUACAUUCAGUAAUGGUGCUGAAAAUUCCAAUUUGUCUCUGAGAAAAGAGAAAAUGUCUCAGCUUGCGAGAUAUGAAACUGAAGUAGGCAGUGGUGUGCCUGCUAUUGAUACAGGGGAGAGCAGCAUCAUAUCAAAUAUUUUGUCACUGGACUUUGACUCAUGGGAUGAGUCUGUAAGUUCACCUCAGAACCUGGCUAAGUUGAUAGGUGAAACUGACAGACGGCAGGGGUCUUUUGGAGCACCAGGUUCCUGGAAAACUCAGAAUAGCAGUCAAUCAAGAUUCUCAUUUGCUAGAGAGGAGGAAGCUAUGAGCCAUUUUCCUGAACAAUCUAUUGAUUACCAUGAACAAGCCUUGAAGCAGCAUCUUUUUGGCCAUAAUUUCGCAGGCAGCAACAGAUUCAAUGUUGAGAAGUUUGUUAGUACAAAUGGUUUACCUUUUUCCAGUGGCACAGAGCAGGAUUAUUUUGCUAACAACGUUUCUCAUUAUUCUUCCAACAAGCUUCCUAUUUCAAGGCCUCAUGUAUCUGCGCCUCCAGGAUUUUCGGCUCCUAGUAGGGCAGCAGCACCUCCAGGCUUUACUUCUCAUGCACGGACAGAGCAAUUUUUUGAAUCACACUCUGGUCAUGCGGUUGAGGCUACCUCUUUAUUAAGAAAUCAGUAUCAAACACCCCCAAGUGGUGAUACUUAUUCUAAUGGUGAUAUAGAAUUUAUGGAUCCUGCUAUUUUGGCUGUUGGCAAAGGGACAUUUGCAAGUGGCAUCGACAAUAUGGGCCUAGACAUAAGAUCCAAUUUUUCUCCACAGUUCAAUGCAUAUGAUGAGGCCAGAUUCCAAUCAAUUUUACAAAGAUCUUUUCCUCCACAUCACAACCAAAGAUUUAGUGACCUUGGCGACAAUCUUUCAACCCUUGGUGAUACUCAUGGAAUUCCAUCUAGGGUUGCCGAGCAGACACUAACCAAUAAUCACUCUCCAUUUUCUCAAUUCAACCUUCAGCAGUAUAGAAAUGGAGCAACUUCUAAUGGUCAAUGGGAUGGGUGGAAUGAAUCCCAGAGUAUGAAUAAUUUGAGUAUAGAUGAACUGCUCAGAGCCGAGAGGUUGAGACUUAGCAGCAAUUUGUACGGUGGCUAUGAAGAAUCCAAGAUGAGGAUGCCAGGUUCUGGCAAUAUAUACAAUGGAGCUUAUGGGAUUUGAUUUGAAGAUUAUUAUAUCAUUGGUGAAAUAUAUGAUCAUAUCCGACCUUGAUGCCUGAAGUUCUCCUUUUGAAUGUGGUGCCUAUGAAACUCACAACAGUUUACUCUGACAUGAUCACUCUGUCUCCGCUACUUUCAGGUUGGUGGAGGAUCAAAUCUUCUCAUAUGGAGUCCAGAAGCCAGCAGGUGAGAGUUCUCUGAGACUGAAGCUCAAUGCGAGUGCUGCUAGGCCUAUGUUAUCCAUGGGAAUCCCAGCGACGUCCGGGUCUUGAGUUUCAUCUCAGCCAGAGAGACUAUGGGAGCAUAGUCAGAGAGGCGGGAGAGAGUAAGAAGCAUGAUUGUUCAAGAUGGUAUCUGAACUUUGUCGCAUAUUUGUUUGAACAUAGAAAGAGGUAGGAGAAUGAAAAUGAGAUGUGGUUUAGGUGACUUCUGCGAAACUGUGAUUAUGAAAUGCAUCUCUUAACAACUGUAUAAGGUCAUCCACAGUCCAGACUAUAUUUUUAUAGCCACAAUAGUAUUCCAUUCA